Non-coding RNA from Xyrichtys novacula (pearly razorfish), 80 nucleotides. NCBI's taxonomy places the organism in Eukaryota, Metazoa, Chordata, Actinopteri, Labriformes, Labridae. The record is from the annotation of a GenBank genome assembly.
GUUGUGCGGUGCCAGGACUUGACCCACAUGUGAGCAGAGAGUGUCGGCCAUGUUCACAGUGGUUAAGUUCUGCCGCCGCA